This is a long non-coding RNA of Brachypodium distachyon (stiff brome), 361 nucleotides long. RefSeq lists it as uncharacterized. The record is from RefSeq and is a predicted model, not a curated record. The transcript has 2 exons. NCBI's taxonomy places the organism in Eukaryota, Viridiplantae, Streptophyta, Magnoliopsida, Poales, Poaceae.
AGUAAGUGACUCAGGCCCACAUGUCAUCCUCACAAUCCAUUUUUCUUGCUCAAGUCUGUUGGCCAUCGUCUUGAGCCGACCCUCAUCUUCAACCUCUGGACACCAAUCAUCCCUACUCCCGCAAGAAGAUCCCCAAAUCCAUGGGUCUCAAAAAAAAUUCUCCAAAUCCAUGCCUCAGGUCAGCCACGGCAAGAAGAGUGCCAGCUUCAAUUGGGAGCCACAGCACCGUAGGAACUAGGCAAGAAUCUCGCAAUGCAGUACAAUUUUUGGCUGCUUCUCAUAUAAAAAUCUUUACUCUUUGUAAAAAAAAUUAUUUAACAUAUAUAUAGAAACGUAUCCCCGUAUCUAUGUUUUUCAAAAA